This 72-nucleotide transfer RNA is filed under the name Mustela putorius furo (domestic ferret). It matches the Rfam family "tRNA". From Rfam's summary of the family: Transfer RNA (tRNA) molecules are approximately 80 nucleotides in length. Their secondary structure includes four short double-helical elements and three loops (D, anti-codon, and T loops). Lineage: Eukaryota; Metazoa; Chordata; Mammalia; Carnivora; Mustelidae. The record is from Rfam by way of RNAcentral.
ACUUGGCAGGCUCAUUGGGUAGAGCACGGGACUCUUGAUCCUGGAGUAUGAGUUUGAGCCCCAUGUUGUGCU